GAUCCUACGGGAGGCAGCAGUGGGGGAUAUUGCACAAUGGGGGGAACCCUGAUGCAGCGACGCCGCGUGGGCGAUGGAGUGCUUCGGCAUGUAAAGCCCUAUCAGCGGGGAAGAAAAUGACGGUACCUGACUAAGAAGCCCCGGCUAACUACGUGCCAGCAGCCGCGGUAAUACGUAGGUGGCGAGCGUUGUCCGGAUUUACUGGGUGUAAAGGGCGUGUAGGCGGGAGAGCAAGUCAGACGUGAAAUUCCAGGGCUCAACCC
Molecule: ribosomal RNA, 263 nt
Filed under: uncultured bacterium
Lineage: Bacteria
Description: partial 16S ribosomal RNA
Rfam family: Bacterial small subunit ribosomal RNA
Source: RNAcentral